RNAcentral lists this ribosomal RNA (274 nucleotides) under uncultured bacterium. Its description in RNAcentral is "partial 16S ribosomal RNA". It matches the Rfam family "Bacterial small subunit ribosomal RNA", at positions 523 to 796 of the family's 1533-position model. The record is from RNAcentral.
AUACGGGGGGGACGAGCGUUGUUCGGAUUUACUGGGCGUAAAGGGCGCGUAGGCGGACUCUCAAGUCGGGUGUGAAAACUGGCGGCUCAACUGCCAGCCUGCAUCCGAAACUGUGAGUCUUGAGUACGUGAGAGGAAAGCGGAAUUCCAGGUGUAGCGGUGAAAUGCGUAGAUAUCUGGAAGAACACCGGUAGCGAAGGCGGCUUUCUGGACCGAUACUGACGCUAAAGCGCGAAGGCUUGGGUAGCAAACAGGAUUAGAAACCCCGGUAGUCC